RNAcentral lists this ribosomal RNA (467 nucleotides) under uncultured bacterium. Its description in RNAcentral is "partial 16S ribosomal RNA". It matches the Rfam family "Bacterial small subunit ribosomal RNA", at positions 28 to 507 of the family's 1533-position model. The record is from RNAcentral.
GAUGAACGCUGGCGGCGUGCUUAACACAUGCAAGUCGAACGGAAAGGCCCCUGCUUGCAGGGGUUCUCGAGUGGCGAACGGGUGAGUAUCACGCGGGUGUUAUGCCCUGCACUUCGGGAUAAGCCUUUGAAACUGGGUCUAAUACCGGGUAUGACCCCACUAUGGGUGGGGUGGUGGAAAGUUUUGCGGUGCGGGAUGAGCUUGCGGCCUAUAAGCUUGUUGGUGGGGGAAUGGCCUACCAAGACGGCGACGGGGAGCCGGCCUGAGAGGAUGUACGGCCACACUGAACCCCAGAGACGGCCCAGAGUCGGACGGGAGGCAGCAGUGGGGAAUAUUUCACAAUGGGCGCAAGCCUGAGGCAGCGACGCCGCGUGGGGGAUGAAGGCCGUCGGGUUGUAAGCACCUGUCGCUAGGGACGAAGCGUUUUUGUGACGGUACCUGGAGAAGAAGCACCGGCUAACUACGUG